Non-coding RNA from Ictidomys tridecemlineatus (thirteen-lined ground squirrel), 2048 nucleotides. The record is from RefSeq and is a predicted model, not a curated record. NCBI's taxonomy places the organism in Eukaryota, Metazoa, Chordata, Mammalia, Rodentia, Sciuridae.
GAGGCUCCCGAGGGCCGAGGAGGGGGAGGCCAAGGCCAGGCGGGCGGCGAGGAGGCCGAGGUGGAAAAGCUGUAAGGACGCGGGAGGCGGGGCGGGGGAAGAGGAUCCCACUAGGAAAUGCGGCUGAGCUCCGGGAGGUGGCAGGAGCCUGGGCUUGGAGUCCCACAGCACGGGGUUCGAAUCCCAGCUCCGCGAGCACCCGCCGGGUGGCCUUGCGCACAAGUGCCUUCCCCUCCCUCUCCGCCUCCUAGGCGUGGAGAAGGAGCAAACACCUGUUAUUUUGUGCGGAUCCCCGUGGUGAGCACCCUAAGACUCUUCUCCCCCAUCAUUCCCUCAAAACAACCCUGAAGUGCCCCUGUAAUCCCAGCAGCUGGGGAGACUGAGGCAGUUCGAGGCCAGCCUGGGCAUCUUAGUGGCACCCUCUCUCAAAACAAAACCCAAACAAGACCCUGAAAGAGGUGGGUGCUGCCUUUACCCCCAUUCUACAGAUGAGGACACUGAGGCCCAAGGGAGCUACGUGGGAAAAGCCCAGGGUGGCUCAAUUCCCAGACAUGAGGAAACCAGAAGUUCAGAGAGGGAAAGAAAGUUCACCAUGGGAAUUUCAGACUGUCUGAUGCAAAUGACUCAAAGCCUGACUGGAACUGGUUUAUGGGAAGAAGGGAACUUACUGGCUCAUUAAACUGAAAAAUCUAGGCAUGGCUGGAUCUGGAGACCCAAAAAUAUCAGAAUGACUCCUUUUUCCAAAUCUCUCCACUGUGUCUUCGCUGUCCUAGGGUCGUAUUUGGGCUUGAUCAGUGCUCUGUGGCUGCACAUUCAUAACCCAAGUUUUAUUUCAGUUGAAAGAGGCUCCCUUUUUGAUAAUUGCAACACAGGUCUCAGGAUCCACUCUAGUUGGACAGUAGGGGACAUGGGACCAUACUGAUAAAAGGUUCAGGGCAGGAAGAAUUUAGUUGAUUGGCAGGUCUGGUCACAGGCCCCACACCUAGAGGCUCCACUGUAUGAGUGGGGUGAAAGAGUUGCAGGAAUAAGAGAGAUGGGCAGUGGGUGCCAGCUGCUAACUCAACCUGUGCCCUCCAUGCUGAGGUUGCAAGGUUACACAGUUGGAGAGAGGUGGGGGCUGGGCUGGAGCCCUGGCAGCCCGACUCUUGACACCCACAUCCUGACUCCUUUCGCCUUUACUACAGGUGCCAGCAUCCUCAGACUGGAGAGUGAUGCUCCCUCCCUAGAGAGAGCCCACUCCUUCUUUGCUGCUACCACAUCAGGCCUCACCACAUCCCGUGCCCAUCUGCCUCCAGCCCUGCCUCCUGGUGGUCCCUGGAGGGUCCUGGAAGCCCUUCUGGUAGCUGCAGCCUGGCUCUAUCCGCCGUGCUGCCAAAGGCCAUGGUCUUGCUGGGCUGCCCAGGAUGGUGUCAGAUCCCUGGGCUCAAGAGAUCCUCCUGCCUCAACCUCCUGAGUACUGAGACUACUGGUUCCCCACCCAGGCCUGAGUCCAGGAAAAGAACUCUACCUGGGGAGACUCUUAUUCAUUGAUCACUCAGUUGAUUGAGGUAGGCGCUCUCUAGACACCAUCAGAGGCUCACAGCAUUCCAAGAGAAAGAAACUGAGGCUCAGAGAGGGGACUUGACUUUCUGAUUUGACCUUGCACGUGCUGAGCCAGCUCUACCUCUAAGCCAUACCCUCAGCCCGGACUUGACUUCCUCAAGGUCACACAGCAAGGCACUGGCCCAGGUGGGAUUGGAACCUGAUACAACUGACUCCAGAAUGGUUUAACUCAGCCUCACACCUGACCCCUGUGCAGCUAGCUGUCAGGCUCCACCACUUGCUGGGAGCCUUAAAGACAUCAGAUCAAGGUGAUGAGAUGAAGGACAAGGAGUUGGAGCAAAUCACCCGUGACUCAGGGGGAAAGAAGAGUUGGGGAUGUCUUGUGUGAGUGAGUCUUCCUGUUGCUCAGGAGAGGAGAUAAGGGAAUUAAUCUACAAGAGCAACAUCCAUUUCUCCCACCAGGCUAACUGAGCUGGGGACACCAGACCAGCUGAGCACAGACUAAG